AGACGUCUACAUUAGAUACCCGUGUAGUCCCAGCCCUAAACGAUGCGCGUUAGGUGUAUCGGUGACCACGAGUCACCGAGGUGCCGAAGGGAAACCGUGAAACGUGCCGCCUGGGAAGUACGGUCGCAAGGCUGGAACUUAAAGGAAUUGGCGGGGGAGCACCACAACGGGUGGAGCCUGCGGUUUAAUUGGACUCAACGCCGGGAAGCUUACCGGAUAAGACAGCGGAAUGAUUGCCGGGCUGAAGACUCUGCAUGACCAGCUG
This 265-nucleotide ribosomal RNA is filed under the name uncultured archaeon. RNAcentral's name for it is "partial 16S ribosomal RNA". It matches the Rfam family "Archaeal small subunit ribosomal RNA", at positions 717 to 982 of the family's 1478-position model. The record is from RNAcentral.